Molecule: ribosomal RNA, 496 nt
Filed under: uncultured bacterium
Lineage: Bacteria
Description: partial 16S ribosomal RNA
Rfam family: Bacterial small subunit ribosomal RNA
Source: RNAcentral
AUGAACGCUGGCGGCGUGCCUAAUACAUGCCAGUCGAGCGAACGGACGAGAAGCUUGCUUCUCUGAUGUUAGCGGCGGACGGGUGAGUAACACGUGGAUAACCUACCUAUAAGACUGGGAUAACUUCGGGAAACCGGAGCUAAUACCGGAUGAUAUUUUGAACCGCAUGGUUCAAAAGUGAAAGACGGUCUUGCUGUCACUUAUAGAUGGAUCCGCGCUGCAUUAGCUAGUUGGUAAGGUAACGGCUUACCGAGACAACGAUGCAUAGCCGACCUGAGAGGGUGAUCGGCCACACUGGAACUGAGACACGGUCCAGACUCCUACGGGAGGCAGCAGUAGGGAAUCUUCCGCAAUGGGCGAAAGCCUGACGGAGCAACGCCGCGUGAGUGAUGAAGGUCUUCGGAUCGUAAAACUCUGUUAUUAGGGAAGAACAUAUGUGUAAGUAACUGUGCACAUCUUGACGGUACCUAAUCAGAAAGCCACGGCUAACUACGUG